GACGAACGCUGGCGGCGUGCCUAAUACAUGCAAGUAGAACGCUGAAGAGAGGAGCUUGCUCUUCUUGGAUGAGUUGCGAACGGGUGAGUAACGCGUAGGUAACCUGCCUUGUAGCGGGGGAUAACUAUUGGAAACGAUAGCUAAUACCGCAUAACAAUGGAUGACACAUGUCAUUUAUUUGAAAGGGGCAAUUGCUCCACUACAAGAUGGACCUGCGUUGUAUUAGCUAGUAGGUGAGGUAAUGGCUCACCUAGGCGACGAUACAUAGCCGACCUGAGAGGGUGAUCGGCCACACUGGGACUGAGACACGGCCCAGACUCCUACGGGAGGCAGCAGUAGGGAAUCUUCGGCAAUGGGGGCAACCCUGACCGAGCAACGCCGCGUGAGUGAAGAAGGUUUUCGGAUCGUAAAGCUCUGUUGUAAGUCAAGAACGGGUGUGAGAGUGGUAAGUUCACACUGUGACGGUAGCUUACCAGAAAGGGACGGCUAACUACGUG
Molecule: ribosomal RNA, 497 nt
Filed under: uncultured bacterium
Lineage: Bacteria
Description: partial 16S ribosomal RNA
Rfam family: Bacterial small subunit ribosomal RNA
Source: RNAcentral